CCUACGGGAGGCAGCAGUGGGGAAUCUUGCGCAAUGGGCGAAAGCCUGACGCAGCCAUGCCGCGUGAAUGAUGAAGGUCUUAGGAUUGUAAAAUUCUUUCACCGGGGACGAUAAUGACGGUACCCGGAGAAGAAGCCCCGGCUAACUUCGUGCCAGCAGCCGCGGUAAUACGAAGGGGGCUAGCGUUGCUCGGAAUUACUGGGCGUAAAGGGAGCGUAGGCGGACAUUUAAGUCAGGGGUGAAAUCCCGGGGCUCAACCUCGGAAUUGCCUUUGAUACUGGGUGUCUUGAGUAUGAGAGAGGUGUGUGGAACUCCGAGUGUAGAGGUGAAAUUCGUAGAUAUUCGGAAGAACACCAGUGGCGAAGGCGACACACUGGCUCAUUACUGACGCUGAGGCUCGAAAGCGUGGGGAGCAAACAGGAUUAGAUACCCUGGUAGUCCACGCCGUAAACGAUGAUUGCUAGUUGUCGGGAUGCAUGNUAUUCGUGCGCAGCUACGACAUAAGUACACUCCGCCGUCGGGAGGUACGGUCGCGAGAAUAAACUACAANAGAGUAGUACGCGNGAGACGNGCCGACGGACGACGACGAGGGAGGAGG
This 598-nucleotide ribosomal RNA is filed under the name uncultured bacterium. Its description in RNAcentral is "bacterial SSU rRNA". The stretch from base 1 to 516 matches the Rfam family "Bacterial small subunit ribosomal RNA", at positions 338 to 873 of the family's 1533-position model. The record is from RNAcentral.